AAAACUUUAGGCCAGUAGGGCACUUGCCGCUAGUAAUAACACGUACCGAAAUAAUAAUAUUAAUAAUUUGCACUGGCAGAAUUUAGCAAAUAUUUCAGGCGCAUCUUUAUCAUGACCAUUGUCUUACAUGUACAAAAUACCACACGAUUAAUUGUCUUGUUGGAUUACUCGUCCCUUUGGACGAAGGAUGCGGGAAGGAACCGUUUGAUCCUGUAGGUGGGAAACGCGCCUGUCCAGGAUAAUUGUAUAUAAUACGUACAUAUAUAUGUGUAUAUACAUUUCUACGUCUGCAGUCAUUUCCGUGAACACUAAAAGUCCUGCAGUAUAAAAUAGGUACAACCUAAAUGUGCAAGUGGUAUAAUGUGAUGCUUUUGAUGAUAAAUUUUGGGUGUCAACCUGAUAUUACGAAUCUUAAUUUUCACUCUCCGAUCCUCAAGUUUACUGAGAAUAAUAUAAAAGAUAAACAACUUCUAAUACCAGAAAAAAUGUAGCAGAAGGAUUUGAGCGUUAAAGAAGUUAACGUUUCGACAAAAAUGUGAUUCACAAUUUAUACAUAAUGAAUAAUUUCGAGCGAUAAAGUAUUUACAAAAUUGUUUACAAACACAAAUAUUUUAAAGUUUUGUUAGCGAUUCUGUCAGACUUUUAUCAGUUAAACGUUAUGGUGCAUGGGAUAGAACGGUCCUGACAUUCACAGAAUUUUAGAAGAGAAAAUAAGUUUUGUUGCAGUUGAAUUCCGAGUGGGCUCAAGUGGAAGUGAUUGAUUUAAUCAAUGACGGAUCUGGAUUAGCAUUUGGAAUAGUCGGUGGUCGAAGCA
This is a long non-coding RNA of Agrilus planipennis (emerald ash borer), 814 nucleotides long. RefSeq lists it as uncharacterized. The transcript is spliced from 3 exons. Lineage: Eukaryota; Metazoa; Arthropoda; Insecta; Coleoptera; Buprestidae. The record is from RefSeq and is a predicted model, not a curated record.